UACGUAGGCAGCGAGCGUUGUUCGGAAUUACUGGGCGUAAAGAGUGUGUAGGCGGUGCUCUAAGUUCGGUGUGAAAUCUCCUGGCUCAACUGGGAGGGUGCGCCGGAAACUGGAGUGCUUGAGCGUGGGAGAGGAAAGCGGAAUUCCUGGUGUAGCGGUGAAAUGCGUAGAUAUCGGGAGGAACACCUGUGGCGAAGGCGGCCCCCUGGUUGGAUACUGACGCUGAUACGCGAAAGCGUGGGGAGCAAACAGG
Molecule: ribosomal RNA, 253 nt
Filed under: uncultured bacterium
Lineage: Bacteria
Description: partial 16S ribosomal RNA
Rfam family: Bacterial small subunit ribosomal RNA
Source: RNAcentral